Molecule: non-coding RNA, 2177 nt
Organism: Benincasa hispida (wax gourd)
Lineage: Eukaryota; Viridiplantae; Streptophyta; Magnoliopsida; Cucurbitales; Cucurbitaceae
Source: RefSeq, a predicted model, not a curated record
UCCUUUUCAUACGCCUUCACUAUUCUCUCUCUUAUCUUGAAUGCCCACUCUUCUAUUCCAUACCCUCUCUCUUGAAUCCCCGUUCUCUUCUUCUCACUUUGUUAUCCAUACCCACUCUGUGGCUUUCAACGAAGGUUUUCACGUCUCCCAAUUCCAACCUCUCUAGAUUGAUCCUCUACUUCAAGGGUUCUCGAUUUUGGUAGUGUUGAAGUUCGAGUAUUGCAUGUGUUGAUCGAAGGCCUUUUUUUCUCAACCCAUUGUUUCUGUGCUCAACCCUAAGGGAGAAGUUUGUGUAUUUUUCACUUUUCAUCCAUUGUUAAGCGGAGAGUUCCGAAUCGAGGCCCAUCGAGUCUAAUAUUCUAUUCAAUUUAAAAUUUUCCUAGAAAACCUUUUAUUUUCAGAUAAGUUUUGAGCAAGUCUGGAAGGCUACAAUAAGAUUGGUUCUUCCCCAAUACAUCUCUACUUAACUGGUAAAUAAGGUUAAUAGUUGGUUUUUUAUUUCUUUCCUAUAUUGUUAUUGGUUCAUUUUGUAUACCCAAUUUCUCUGUAUUUAGGGAGGGUUUUGUUUUCUUUUUUCUAAACUCUUAUAGACUUUAUGAAGGCUAUAGUUCCAUAUCCUUCCCUCUUGUAUAUCUAUUUUUUUGGUAUCUAGUUGCUUGAUAGUUCUUCUUCACCCCCUUCAAAUUAAAAAAAAAAAAAUGUGAUAAAAAAUGAGUAACACCAAGUGCCUCUGGAAUAAUCUGUUGAUCUCCAAUGAAUUGUUUCCUUUUAAUAAAAAAAGUUCCAUUUCCAAGUAAUGUUUUGUAUGAGACAAAAAUGAGUAAUCAAGUUUAAAUAAGUUUUGUGAGUAUGAAGUUAAAGAAAUUUCCAAAACUUUGGUGUUAUGGAAGGUGAACAAAAUUUGAUAAAGGUUUGAAGCUUUUGUGAAAUUAAAUUCCAAUGUUUCAAAAUUGGUACUCUUUGAUUCUCUCUGCAAAUGCAAAACAAAGCCUGAGAUAGAAAUACUAACAUAUCUGAUUAGCUUGAGAAGUAUGCUUUCAUAUUUGAAGACAGUGUUCUCAAGUGGAUAGAAAUUAGAAAAUUACCAUUUGUUCCUUAUUUUCAUUUAUGGAUAUUACAUGCACACAUAUUCUUUUUCAUUCUAAAGUUAGUUGCAUUGAACUUUUUGUCAAAGUUAUGUAUUUUGUUAUUAUGUUAAAAUGUGAUUUUAUUUUGAAUAAUCAUAGUCAUUCUAUUCCAGUUUAAAAUGUGAUUUUAUUAUUGUGGACAAUGGCUGAAGGUAUUCGGUGACUAGCUUAUUCAUAUCAUCAAUAAAUAUAUUGCCCAAUUUUCUAUGAUUUGAAAUUUAAUAAGCAAUCCGCUGUUUUUUUCUUUUGGAUGCAACUAGAAAAGCUUUUCAUCAAACAUUUCCUUUCAAUUGUAGGUUAUUCUGCCAAUUCAGGAGUCAGCUAUUUUAAUUUUUCUUUGUUGUUUGCCAUAGAUGGUUCUUUAUGUUUGGUUAUUUAAGUUAGUUUCUAUAGGUUGCCUUUUGGGAACUUGCUGCUAGUAGAAGCUUUUACCCCUUUUAUCAGUCUCCUUGUUUUUCUCUUUGGUGUUUUACAAGUGAAGUGCAACAAAACUUUACAUGCACAUACCUUACUCUUCUUUGAUAUCAUGAAUCAAUUUUGAUAUUUUUGCCUUUUGUAUUUGCUCAUAUAAAAAUUCCUCACAAUUAUGUUAAUGUGCUGAUGGUGGAGUAAUUUCUCUCCUUGAAGAAUAUCAUUGCAAAGUUUUUGCUGCUACUGUUUCUAAAUGUAAAUGUAAGUCUGAUUUCUCACAAUUGCUAUGUUUUGAAGGUUUAAAUCACAUAUUAAUUAUUUUCUAAACUCAAAAUACUUUCUAGUCAUUUGAACUUGUAUUUUAUUAAAAAAUGAAUAUGCUUUGUUUGCAUACAUGAUCUGAUCUGUAAUUUCAGUCAUUUACUUGCAGGUUCUUGAUUCCGUUAGAGCAUUGUUUCCUUAGACUAUUUUACUCUUUUCUGUUUUCUAAAUAAUGAAAAUGUUCUCAAAAUAUAUGUUGUAGUUACUGCUAGGAGUUGUUUGUGUUGGAAUUGAUGUCCUAAAUCUCAGAUCCUGUAGUUUGUAAACACUUGUAUGAACAAACUCUUUAUGAUGUUAUAAUAUGAGAUAUUUUAUUUA